Loxodonta africana (African savanna elephant) is the source of this 74-nucleotide transfer RNA. It matches the Rfam family "tRNA". Rfam says of the family: Transfer RNA (tRNA) molecules are approximately 80 nucleotides in length. Their secondary structure includes four short double-helical elements and three loops (D, anti-codon, and T loops). Further hydrogen bonds mediate the characteristic L-shaped molecular structure. tRNAs have two regions of fundamental functional importance: the anti-codon, which is responsible for specific mRNA codon recognition, and the 3' end, to which the tRNAs corresponding amino acid is attached (by aminoacyl-tRNA synthetases). tRNAs cope with the degeneracy of the genetic code in two manners: having more than one tRNA (with a specific anti-codon) for a particular amino acid; and 'wobble' base-pairing, i.e. permitting non-standard base-pairing at the 3rd anti-codon position. Lineage: Eukaryota; Metazoa; Chordata; Mammalia; Proboscidea; Elephantidae. The record is from Rfam.
CCCUGGGUGGUGCAAAGGUUUAACAUGCUUAGCUGCUAACCAAAAGGUUGGAGGUUCAAGUCCACCCAGAGGGA